Molecule: unclassified non-coding RNA, 262 nt
Filed under: plant metagenome
Description: partial contains small subunit ribosomal RNA, internal transcribed spacer 1, and 5.8S ribosomal RNA
Source: RNAcentral
UCUCCGUUGGUGAACCAGCGGAGGGAUCAUUACCGAGUUUACAACUCCCAAACCCCUAUGUGAACGUUACCAAACUGUUGCCUCGGCGGGAAAUUCAUGCCCCGGGCGCGUCGCAGCCCCGGACCCAGGCGCCCGCCGGAGGACCAACCAAAACUCUUUUGUAUGUCCCUCGCGGACUUUUAUAAUUCUGAACCAUCUCGGCGCCCCUAGCGGGCGUUUCGAAAAUGAAUCAAAACUUUCAACAACGGAUCUCUUGGUUCUG